GAUGAACGCUGGCGGCGUGCUUAACACAUGCAAGUCGAACGAAGCACUUUUGCUGAUACCUUCGGGUGGAUUUAAAAGUGACUGAGUGGCGGACGGGUGAGUAACGCGUGGGUAACCUGCCUCACACAGGGGGAUAAGAGUUAGAAAUGACUGCUAAUACCGCAUAACCGCACGGUCUCGCAUGGGACAAGUGUGAAAAACUCCGGUGGUGUGAGAUGGACCCGCGUCUGAUUAACUAAUUGGCGGGGUAACGGCACUACCAAGGCGACGAUCAGAAACCGACCUCGAGAGGGUGACCGGCCGCAUUGGGAGUGAGACACGGCCCAAUCUCAUACGGGAGGCCGCAGUGGGGUAUAUUGCACAAUGGGGGAAUCCGUGAUGCAGAGACGCCGCGGUGAUUGAAGAAGUAUUUCGUUAUGUAAUGAUGUAUCAGCAAGGAAGAAAAUGACGGUAUUCGAGUAAGAAGCCCCGGCUAACUACGUGCCAGCAGCCGCGGUAAUACGUAGGGGGCAAGCGUUAUCCGGAUUUAUUGGGUGUAAAGGGAGCGUAGGCGGUCUGGCAAGUCAGAAGUGAAAGCCCGGGGCUUAACCCCGAGACUGCUUUUGGAACUUUUAGACUAGAGUCUCGGAGAGGUAAGUGGAAUUCCUAGUGUAGCAGUGAAAUGCGUAGAUAUUAGGAGGAACACCAGUGGCGAAGGCGGUUUACUGGACGAUAACUGACGUUGAGGCUGGAAAGCGUGGGGAGCAAACAGGAUUAGAUACCCUGGUAGUCCACUCCGUAAACGAUGAAUAAUAGGUGGUGGGAGUCAUGGCUCUUCGGUGCCGCAGCAAACGCAAUAAGUAUUCCACCUGGGGAGUACGUUCGCAAGAAUGAAACUCAAAGGAAUUGACGGGGGCCCGCACAAGCGGCGGAGCAUGUGGUUUAAUUCGAAGCAACGCGAAGAACCUUACCAAGUCUUGACAUCCCGAUGACCGUUCCGUAAUGGGGAGUUCUCUUUCGAGCAUCGGUGCCAGGUGGGGCAUGGUGUUCUUCAGCUCGUGUCGUGAGAGGUUGGGUUAAGUCCCCCACCGAGCGCAACCCCUUUUUUCAUUAGCCAGCAUUAUAGAUGGGCACUCUGGAGAGACUGCCAGGGAUAACUUGGAGGAAGGUGGGGAGGACGUCAAAUCAUCAUGCCCCUUAUGACUUGGGCUACACACGUGCUACAAUGGCCUAAACAAAGAGAAGCGAAGUUGUGAGGCAGAGCAAAUCUCAAAAAAAACGUCUCAGUUCGGAUUGUAGUCUGCAACUCGCCCACAUGAAGUUGGAAUCGCUAGUAAUCGCGGAUCAGAAUG
This 1331-nucleotide ribosomal RNA is filed under the name uncultured bacterium. RNAcentral's name for it is "bacterial SSU rRNA". It matches the Rfam family "Bacterial small subunit ribosomal RNA", at positions 28 to 1356 of the family's 1533-position model. The record is from RNAcentral.